GAACCCCCUGGGUUUUCACCGGAUGCCGGAGUUCUCAUCCUGUCGAUUGCUAGCCCAGCUCGGGGCUGAGCUCUGAGAGAUUACGGAGCCCCGCCUGGGAAGGCGCUGGGAGAGCCCAGGACCUUAUCUGUAAAAGCCUCCCAGGGAGACAGAAGCCUCCGUCUAGGGGAGUGCUCAGCAGUGUCAGGAUCUCAGGAGCCCCGAGUCAGGCCGCCUUCCACUGCAGCUGGAAAUGACAGUCUUAUCUUCAAAGACGGUGGAGUGGGGAGAUAAUCCACUUUCAGUCAGGGUUUAUAAAGCAAGCCUUGCCUCUUCUUCAUCUUAAAAUAGCUUGAACGAAGGCCUGUUAGCCAAUGACUGGGAAACCGCUGUUUAAAUAAUU
Molecule: long non-coding RNA, 382 nt
Filed under: Bos taurus (domestic cattle)
Lineage: Eukaryota; Metazoa; Chordata; Mammalia; Artiodactyla; Bovidae
Description: long non-coding RNA NONBTAT016842
Source: RNAcentral